GCCAUCUUUCAUCACCCACUCACUGCAGAUUUUCUAUGCAAAUAGUUCCAAUAUUUAUAUUGAAACCCAUGAAAAGAUUUUACCCUUUGCAGCAUAUUUAAGCAUUGAUUCAUUGAAAACAGAUGAGCUAGUUACUGAGCAUGUUUGGAUGCAUUAGUGCGAAAUUAUCAACCAGCUAACUGCAUUUCUUAGUCUCAAUCAAAACUGAUAGAAUAAGACCUUUACG
RNAcentral lists this unclassified non-coding RNA (226 nucleotides) under Hevea brasiliensis (rubber tree). Lineage: Eukaryota; Viridiplantae; Streptophyta; Magnoliopsida; Malpighiales; Euphorbiaceae. The record is from RNAcentral.